UCUAACCCACAACUAAGAAACCCUAAAAGCAUAACCCCACAAAUAAACCCACGAGAAUCGGUUUCCCAAACCAAUCACCGUAAUACGCCGGAAAUCCCGUAAUCGCACCAAGACUCCGUCGGGACCCACGGACUGUCCCGGAACUCACCGACUCGUACCACGAGUCACCCGCUGCCCCUAAAUACAAAUUUAAGUGUGACUUGGCAGCAGAGACCUUAACUCACUCCAAAACGAUUAUCGUCAAAUAAUCGUUCCGAUCCGGGUUCCCGGAAGUGUCUAUUUCGACACCGGAACCCACCGGCGCUCACCCGUCAU
Molecule: long non-coding RNA, 315 nt
Filed under: Ananas comosus (pineapple)
Lineage: Eukaryota; Viridiplantae; Streptophyta; Magnoliopsida; Poales; Bromeliaceae
Description: long non-coding RNA (ACOM_LNC042959)
Source: RNAcentral